This 253-nucleotide ribosomal RNA is filed under the name uncultured bacterium. RNAcentral's name for it is "partial 16S ribosomal RNA". It matches the Rfam family "Bacterial small subunit ribosomal RNA", at positions 524 to 776 of the family's 1533-position model. The record is from RNAcentral.
UACAGAGGGUGCAAGCGUUGUCCGGAAUCACUGGGCGUAAAGGGCGCGUAGGCGGCGCGGUAAGCGUGCGGUGAAAGCCCGGGGCUCAACCCCGGGUCGGCCGUGCGGACUGCCGGGCUGGAGCACUGUAGAGGCAGGUGGAAUUCCGGGUGUAGCGGUGGAAUGCGUAGAGAUCCGGAAGAACACCGGUGGCGAAGGCGGCCUGCUGGGCAGUGGCUGACGCUGAGGCGCGACAGCGUGGGGAGCAAACAGG